ACUGUGGGUUGAAACGAUAACGUGCCAUAUCUACUUAGUGGAUAGUGUAAUUUUAGUACUGCUUGAGCUGUUGGCACGUACAAAGAUGUCAGAUGAAACUCCCCUAAAUGAAACCCAGCUAGUGGGACUAGAGAGAAAGCAUGUAUAGUUCAAGUCCAGGUUUUAUGAUGCCCAGAAGUGUGCCAAAGGUGCAACCUAUGUGCAAAUGGCUAAUGGCAGUAACAGAGGCCCAGUUACUGAUAGGCUCAUCAAUAAAGGAAGCAUUUGAG
This 269-nucleotide unclassified non-coding RNA is filed under the name Hevea brasiliensis (rubber tree). The record is from RNAcentral. Lineage: Eukaryota; Viridiplantae; Streptophyta; Magnoliopsida; Malpighiales; Euphorbiaceae.